UACGAAGGUCCCAAGCGUUAUCCGGAUUUAUUGGGUUUAAAGGGUGCGUAGGCGGGCUAUUAAGUCAGUGGUGAAAGCCCCAAGCUUAACUUGGGAACUGCCAUUGAUACUGAUGGUCUUGAGUACAUUUGAGGUGGGCGGAAUGUGUCAUGUAGCGGUGAAAUGCUUAGAUGUGACACAGAACACCGAUUGCGAAGGCAGCUCACUAAACUGUAACUGACGCUGAGGCACGAAAGCGUGGGGAGCAAACAGG
Molecule: ribosomal RNA, 253 nt
Filed under: uncultured bacterium
Lineage: Bacteria
Description: partial 16S ribosomal RNA
Rfam family: Bacterial small subunit ribosomal RNA
Source: RNAcentral